This 306-nucleotide ribosomal RNA is filed under the name uncultured bacterium. RNAcentral's name for it is "bacterial SSU rRNA". It matches the Rfam family "Bacterial small subunit ribosomal RNA", at positions 80 to 386 of the family's 1533-position model. The record is from RNAcentral.
UUGCUCCUCGGAUCAGUGGCGGACGGGUGAGUAACACGUGAGCAACCUGCCUUUCAGUGGGGGACAACAGUUGGAAACGACUGCUAAUACCGCAUAACGUGCCGGAGGGGCAUCCUUUUGGUACCAAAGAUUUAUCGCUGAAAGAUGGGCUCGCGUCUGAUUAGAUAGUUGGUGAGGUAACGGCCCACCAAGUCGACGAUCAGUAGCCGGACUGAGAGGUUGAUCGGCCACAUUGGGACUGAGACACGGCCCAGACUCCUACGGGAGGCAGCAGUGGGGAAUAUUGGACAAUGGGGGAAACCCUUA